This 71-nucleotide transfer RNA is filed under the name Streptococcus pneumoniae. Its description in RNAcentral is "tRNA-Gly(tcc)". It matches the Rfam family "tRNA". Rfam says of the family: Transfer RNA (tRNA) molecules are approximately 80 nucleotides in length. Their secondary structure includes four short double-helical elements and three loops (D, anti-codon, and T loops). The record is from RNAcentral. Lineage: Bacteria; Bacillati; Bacillota; Bacilli; Lactobacillales; Streptococcaceae.
AGCGGGUGUAGUUUAGUGGUAAAACUACAGCCUUCCAAGCUGUUGUCGCGAGUUCGAUUCUGCGCACGCCU